GACGAACGCUGGCGGCGUGCUUAACACAUGCAAGUCGAACGAAGUGGCGCACGGGUGAGUAACGCGUAAUCAACCUGCCCUUCAGGGGGGGACAACAGUUGGAAACGACUGCUAAUACCGCAUACUGAAGGAGGGGAUUGCGUCUGAUUAGCUAGUUGGAGGGGUAACGGCCCCACAAGGCGAUGAUCAGUAGCCGGUCUGAGGGGAGGAACGGCCAAAUCGGGACCUAGACACGGCCCAGACCUCUACGGGAGGCAGCAGUGGGGAAUCUUCCGCAAUGGACGAAAGGCUGACGGAGCAAAGCCGCGGGAGGGAUGACGGGCGUCGGGUUGUAAAGCUCUGUUAAGCGGGACGCGGUACCGGAAGAGAAAGCCACGGCUAACUACGUGCCAGCAGCCGCGGUAAUAC
RNAcentral lists this ribosomal RNA (408 nucleotides) under uncultured bacterium. RNAcentral's name for it is "partial 16S ribosomal RNA". It matches the Rfam family "Bacterial small subunit ribosomal RNA", at positions 28 to 526 of the family's 1533-position model. The record is from RNAcentral.